CGUCCGCGGUGCAACCGGGCAGAGGUUGGGCCAGUGGCAUUCUGGAGCUCAGCAAACCAGCUACAAGCAGCACAGAUGGGCACACACGGCUGUGAACCUGAAAAUGUUGGCCAAAGGUUAUGGAUCUGUCAGAGACAGAUCCACCUGGAAGAAAGCUUCCAAAAGGAAACAAAUCUGAAGUAAUAGGAAGAUUGCCUGUCCUGGUUGGCCAGAAAUGGAGAAUCCGGUCACAGAGUGUUCCUGAAAGGUGGAGAAUGAACUGAAAAUAACUUGCAAGGGACAGCCCAAAACAUAGAUGGCUCCUAAGCUGUUUUGGCUCGACCUACAGAGCUUGAAAUCUGCUAUUUCCCACUGGAAGAGGUGAGAAGAGUCCAUUUCUAACGCCAUACAUAAUAGUACAAAUGUUAAGGUUGUUUUUGUGGAAACAA
Molecule: long non-coding RNA, 428 nt
Organism: Pseudonaja textilis
Lineage: Eukaryota; Metazoa; Chordata; Lepidosauria; Squamata; Elapidae
Source: RefSeq, a predicted model, not a curated record